RNAcentral lists this ribosomal RNA (424 nucleotides) under Ero sp. GH1092. RNAcentral describes it as "partial 16S ribosomal RNA". It matches the Rfam family "Bacterial large subunit ribosomal RNA", at positions 1846 to 2600 of the family's 2925-position model. The record is from RNAcentral. Lineage: Eukaryota; Metazoa; Arthropoda; Arachnida; Araneae; Mimetidae.
UAUUAGGUAAAAUCUGCUCAAUGAAUUAAAUAGCCGCAGAAAUUUUACUGUGCUAAGGUAGCAUAAUCAUUAGUCUUUUAAUUAAAGACCAGUAUGAAAGAUUUAACACUUUAAUUACUUUCUCACUUUCCUAUAAAAUUUGUAUCAAAUAUAAAAUAUAUUUAUAUAUAAAUUAGACGACAAGACCCUAUCGAACUUUACUUUAGUUUAGCUGGGGUAGCAAAUUAAAAAUAAUCUUAAUCUUUAAUUUUUCCCAAAAUGAACCAACACAAUUGAUUAUAUGAUUAAGUUACCGUAGGGAUAACAGCGUAAUAUUUUUCUAAGCUCUUAUCUAAAAAAAAGCUUACGACCUCGAUGUUGAAUUAUUUUCCCGUAAAACGCAAGAGUUUCAUAGGGUGGUCUGUUCGACCAUAAAAUUUUUACA